This 590-nucleotide long non-coding RNA is filed under the name Mustela putorius furo (domestic ferret). RNAcentral describes it as "lncRNA (ENSMPUG00000028428.1)". The record is from RNAcentral. Lineage: Eukaryota; Metazoa; Chordata; Mammalia; Carnivora; Mustelidae.
CCUGAGUUGAAGAAGAUUUAUAUCUCAAAGGGCAGAGGAUGAAUUUACAGCUCCAAGCUUCUAAAGUAAAUGCUCUAAGAAAAGGGAAGUCAUGGGACUUGAAGAAGUCAGGAAGUCAGGAAGAAGCCCAUCUGAAGUGACUACUUUGUAGGUUUUCUGUUCCAGUUUUAUAUACAAACUGGUGCCACUGUUCCCUCCACCUCCCAGGUCAGCAACUCAAAGAGAAUUUAUUUCCUCAGAAGUUACCACGAUGCCAUUUCCUAUCAUAUGCAGAAACUCUCCCUGGGGUGUCUUGAAUGUGUGCAAUGAGCAUGAACACUGGAUUUGGAUCAGUGAGCUGAGAGAUGUGGACCAUCACACUUGGCCGGAUGAGUCCCUGUGGGUUGUGGACCUGGGAGGAGCUGUGAACGCUGUUCAUUCUAGAAGAGAGCGAGAGCGAGAUCGAGCGAGAGCACAAGCAGGGGGAUUAGAAGACUGAGAAGGCGAGCAGGGAUCCUGAUGAGGGGCUCAAUCCCAGGACCCUAGGAUCGUGACCCAAGCUGAAAGCAGACGCUUAAUGACUGAGCCACCCGGAUGCCCCAGUCACUGAG